CACCUCGUCACUGAUGAUGAUCUUGUCUUAUAUAUUCUUGGAGGACUUGGACAAGAAUAUGAUGAUGUGGUUGUCUCGUUCAUUGCUAGAGAGGAUUUAAUUUCAUUGUUUGAUCUUCAUGGCUUUCUUUUAAGUCAUAAGU
Molecule: small nucleolar RNA, 142 nt
Organism: Solanum verrucosum
Lineage: Eukaryota; Viridiplantae; Streptophyta; Magnoliopsida; Solanales; Solanaceae
Product: small nucleolar RNA Z247
Exons: 1
Source: RefSeq, a predicted model, not a curated record